GUAGGUGGCAAGCGUUGUCCGGAAUUAUUGGGCGUAAAGCGCGCGCAGGCGGUUCUUUAAGUCUGAUGUGAAAGCCCACGGCUCAACCGUGGAGGGUCAUUGGAAACUGGAGAACUUGAGUACAGAAGAGGAAAGCGGAAUUCCACGUGUAGCGGUGAAAUGCGUAGAGAUGUGGAGGAACACCAGUGGCGAAGGCGGCUUUCUGGUCUGUAACUGACGCUGAGGCGCAAAAGCGUGGGGAGCAAACAGGAUUAGAUACCCUGGUAGUCCACGCCGUAAACGAUGAGUGCUAAGUGUUAGGGGGGUUUCCGCCCCCCUUAGUGCUGCAGCUAACGCAUUAAGCACUCCGCCUGGGAGUACGGCCGCAAGGCUG
This 373-nucleotide ribosomal RNA is filed under the name uncultured organism. RNAcentral's name for it is "partial 16S ribosomal RNA". It matches the Rfam family "Bacterial small subunit ribosomal RNA", at positions 527 to 896 of the family's 1533-position model. The record is from RNAcentral.